Molecule: ribosomal RNA, 881 nt
Filed under: Triticum aestivum (bread wheat)
Lineage: Eukaryota; Viridiplantae; Streptophyta; Magnoliopsida; Poales; Poaceae
Description: partial small subunit ribosomal RNA
Source: RNAcentral
GCCGGUGGACGGGGUCGGGAGCUAUUAACGUAGGGGUGGGCACGAGGGGGGAGUGUUGGUUGUGUCGAGGUUUCUUUAGGGGUAGCGGCGGCGAGGGAGGGUGGAACAAGUGAGCGGCGGUACAGGCGGCGCAGUAGGAGGGGGGAGUGGCAGGGUUGACUGAAGGACGAGGGAGAGUUGGGCCAUAGGAAAAACGCCGCUGCUCUAGCGCUGCUUGAAGCGUUCCUGCCCUCUGUUCCGCCCAGUAACCAAGAUGUUCACAUCUUUUAUGCUACGGGCGGUCACGGCUAAGAAGCUACGGUCUUCCGCAUGCACUCCUCCGAUUGAGGCGAAGUCGAACGGGCACGAAUCUUCGUUGUUCGUUCAGCUGUAAGUGGUUCGGCACGUCUACCAGGUACGACGGUUGGUUGGGGGUACACGUCGUUCCGCUACCUCCCGUCUAUCGGUGGGUUAGGUCAGAAACGGUGGCGCCAGAGCCGGUCCCGUCUGAAACAUAGUUUGACUAGUUGAUGUUCGGCGGCAACGUAGGGCAAGGGUUUACGAACAUCAACGGCGAGACGACGAACGUCGACGGUUAGAGUACGAAUGGUACGAACAAGAAGACAAACAUCAGCGGUCCAUGAAACCGAGCCAUUAAUUACACAAGUCUCGACAAAUGACUCAACGGCACGCUUGCCGGUCUUCCGCAGUUGGUACAGUCCCACCGAGGGACAUGGAGUUCGGACAAAGUGGAUUUUAUCUUGAAAUAACCGUCGUAGUAUACAUUACUAUCAUUGAUACAAUUCAUACGAACAAUGACCGACAGUAACUUUAAUUAAGACACAUUACUUUAAAGAAUAACAAUACGAUAAUGUGUUAAACAAUAUAUUCUCUUGAGAGGG